CGAGCGGGGUUUUCGGACCUAGCGGCGGACGGGUGAGUAAUGCGUAGGAAGCUGCCCGAUAGAGGGGGAUACCAGUUGGAAACGACUGUUAAUACCGCAUAAUGUCUACGGACCAAAGUGUGGGACCUUCGGGCCACAUGCUAUCGGAUGCGCCUACGUGGGAUUAGCUAGUUGGUGAGGUAAUGGCUCACCAAGGCGACGAUCUCUAGCUGGUUUGAGAGGAUGAUCAGCCACACUGGAACUGAGACACGGUCCAGACUCCUACGGGAGGCAGCAGUGGGGAAUAUUGGACAAUGGGCGCAAGCCUGAUCCAGCCAUGCCGCGUGUGUGAAGAAGGCCUUCGGGUUGUAAAGCACUUUCAGCGAGGAGGAAGGGUGGUGUGUUAAUAGCACAUCAUUUUGACGUUACUCGCAGAAGAAGCACCGGCUAACUCUGUGCCAGCAGCCGCGGUAAUACAGAGGGUGCAAGCGUUAAUCGGAAUUACUGGGCGUAAAGCGCACGUAGGCGGUUUUUUAAGUCAGAUGUGAAAGCCCCGGGCUCAACCUGGGAAUUGCAUUUGAAACUGGGGAACUAGAGUGUGUGAGAGGGGGGUAGAAUUCCAAGUGUAGCGGUGAAAUGCGUAGAGAUUUGGAGGAAUACCAGUGGCGAAGGCGGCCCCCUGGCACAACACUGACGCUCAGGUGCGAAAGCGUGGGGAGCAAACAGGAUUAGAUACCCUGGUAGUCCACGCCGUAAACGAUGUCUACUAGCUGUUCGUGUCCUUGUGAUGUGAGUAGCGCAGCUAACGCACUAAGUAGACCGCCUGGGGAGUACGGUCGCAAGAUUAAAACUCAAAUGAAUUGACGGGGGCCCGCACAAGCGGUGGAGCAUGUGGUUUAAUUCGACGCAACGCGAAGAACCUUACCUACUCUUGACAUCUACGGAAGACUGCAGAGAUGCGGUUGUGCCUUCGGGAACCGUAAGACAGGUGCUGCAUGGCUGUCGUCAGCUCGUGUUGUGAAAUGUUGGGGUUAAGUCCCGCAACGAGCGCAACCCCUA
RNAcentral lists this ribosomal RNA (1038 nucleotides) under bacterium. RNAcentral's name for it is "bacterial SSU rRNA". It matches the Rfam family "Bacterial small subunit ribosomal RNA", at positions 63 to 1107 of the family's 1533-position model. The record is from RNAcentral.